GGAGGCAUUAGAGCACAUUGCUGUAUCAGAGGAGGAGGAGGAGGAGGCAUUAGAGCACGUUGCUGCAUCAGAGGAGGAGGCAUUAGAGCACGUUGCUGUAUCAGAGAAGGAGAAGGAGGAGGCAUUAGAGCACGCUGCUGUAUCAGAGGAGGAGGAGGCAUUAGAGCACGCUGCUGUAUCAGAGAAGGAGGAGGAGGAGGCAUUAGAGCACGUUGCUGCAUCAGAGAAGGAGGAGGCAUUAGAGCACAUUGCUGUAUCAGAGGAGUAGAUGCAGUGUAUAAAUAUAUAUAUACAAGGAGUACCAGAUCAAUGUGUAGGGGUAAUAUAUAUAUACAGGGAGAACCAGAUCAAUAUGUAGGGGUAAUAUAUAUAUAUAUACAGGGAGAACCAGAUCAAUGUGUAGGGGUAAUAUAUAUAUACAGGGAGAACCAGAUCAAUGUGUAG
RNAcentral lists this long non-coding RNA (444 nucleotides) under Oncorhynchus mykiss (rainbow trout). RNAcentral's name for it is "lncRNA (ENSOMYG00000075580.1)". The record is from RNAcentral. Lineage: Eukaryota; Metazoa; Chordata; Actinopteri; Salmoniformes; Salmonidae.